ACAUAUGAAAAAGAUGACAGAUGGUUGACCAACAGUGCUUUCUCACCUCCCACAAUCACCAACUUACCAUUCUUGACAAAUUUGAGCUUCUGGUGCAGAGUGGAAGUAAUAACCCCUGCUUCAUGAAUCCAUGGCCUUCCCAACAAACAGUUGUAGGCCGGGUGAAUGUCCAUUACCUGGAAAGUAAUCUGAAAAUCACUCGGACCUAUCUUG
RNAcentral lists this long non-coding RNA (213 nucleotides) under Lathyrus oleraceus (garden pea). Its description in RNAcentral is "Pisum sativum (pea) long non-coding RNA (PSAT_LNC036347)". The record is from RNAcentral. Lineage: Eukaryota; Viridiplantae; Streptophyta; Magnoliopsida; Fabales; Fabaceae.